This 376-nucleotide ribosomal RNA is filed under the name Thraustochytriidae sp. RNAcentral's name for it is "Thraustochytriaceae sp. partial small subunit ribosomal RNA". It matches the Rfam family "Eukaryotic small subunit ribosomal RNA", at positions 582 to 975 of the family's 1831-position model. Lineage: Eukaryota; Bigyra; Thraustochytrida; Thraustochytriidae. The record is from RNAcentral.
AUUCCAGCUCCAAUAGCGAAUACUAAUUCUGCUGCAGUUAAAAAGCUCGUAGUUGAACUUGUGGCAGGACAGAUCCGGCCGUUGGGCGAAUGCCCUUUGAUGCUGUGUGUCUCGUCUGGCCAUCCUCGGCAAUUUUUUAAAAAGGUUGUCGUCUUUCACUGUAAAAAAAUUAGGGUGUUUCAAGCAAAGUUUAUGUUGGAAUAUAUUAGUAUGGGAUGAUAAGAUAGGCUCUGGAUGCUAUUUUGUUGGUUUGCACAUUUAGAGAAUGAUUAACAGGGACAGUUGGGGGUAUUCAUAUUUACAUGUCAGAGGUGAAAUUCUUGGAUUUUGGAAAGAUGAACUACUGCGAAGGCAUUUACCAAGGAUGUUUUCAUUA